AGAAGAUAUUUAUGUUAUAGAUGGCGAAGUGAAAACAAAGCCCAGCAAUGGGUUCUGCAGUCAGGGGCUUUGGAAUGAAUUAAACUCUGGGAAUCAAUCUGAAGUUUCUACAUUUUAUCAUUACCCAGUCCACAGAACCAAUCUCAUAGGCCGUGAAUAAGACUAAGGGUUGAUGUGGAAAUGAGGUUAUAUCAUCCUACCAUAAACUUGAGCUCAAACUCAGCCCUGCUAACAUAAAAUAAAGAUGAACUUAUCAUCUUGCAUUUACAUGAUUAACUUAUAAAAUGACAAACCGUACGUGCUUAACCCCAAAAAUUAGAACGAAAAAUUAAAAUAUUGAUAAUUGAUCCCUCCCUUCUUUCACUGGAAUGCAGCCGCAGAACUGGCCUUUAUCACGUCUAAUAAACUAACUUCUCCACUGUUCUGUGAUUCUCUUCUAUAUGGAUUGCAUACCUCUAACGACCCAGCUAGAAAAUGUUUACCUGGUCUUCUUGGCUUUGGCCAAUUUCUUCUUUCUUUUCUUUACAGCCUUAGGAAUUUUAGUCUUCCGAGCUUCUCUCUUCUCUUCUUUGACUUUCUUUUUGUUCUGUUUUCUAGCGGUUCUUUUAUCAACAGGAUCCUUUUUCUCAACUUCUGACAGGGAACCACUCUCAUCUGAGUCGCUUGAGUUCUCAUCAUCAUCUGUCUCAGAAUCAGAUUCACUUUCAGGAGUUUUAGAAUGGUCAUCCUCAUUUACAGAAAACACUUCUACAGGGUUCAAAUUCUCUUCCUUUUGGUCUUUUUGGGCUUCAGAAAACUGAACUUUAGAUAGAGCCUCCUUUAGUCCUGUUAUGGUUUGAUAGUACAUAUCUCCUGUAUCCUUGCCACUUGUUAUCCUUAUUACAUCCUCCUCAGCAUUCUUGACAUGAUCUAAUGUCUUUGGAAUAUAUGACUGCACAAAUACGGAGUCUGCAAUUUCAUCCUCUACUGUGACAUCUCUUGACAAAAUUUUUUGCUGAACCUCUUCCAAGUAACUAUCAACAGAAUCAUCAGUAAUGGUUGGGUCAACUAUGAAGUCAAAUAGCUCUCGAAUUGUCAUGACAGCUACACCAUGUUUCUUAAAAAAAUCCUGCAUCCCAACCAUGCUUGAUUAAUUCAGCUGUUAAAGCGCAUUUCUUUUUUCCCUUCCAAAAGUAAAAUUUAUAAAAAAACAUCACAACCAUCCAUCCUGUGGAAAGAACUUACAGAAACAUGAACACAAUCUUCACGUAGGAAAUCAAGGGCAUGAGGGUGGUCGAGAUCAACUGCUUGAGAGACAUCAAUUACAUACAAGUGACCCUACAAACAGGAGGGAAAGUUCAUACCAAACGUCCACAAAUACACAUGUGAUCAACCUAACAUCUCCAGUCAACGACUCUUCUCAAAAGAGGAGAUUUUAUAUUUAUCCAUUCUAUUUUGGAAUGCAUCAAAACCAGCCCAAAGACAAAUAUGUUAUCUGUUUGAUAAAGAAACAAGCGGCAUUCACCUCAAAAUAUAGUAUGUUAUAUUCACUGAGGUCCCCAUGCACCAGUUUGCAUUUCUGAUACAAAGUCCGCAUUGCAAUGAUCAUCUGAUAAAGAAAUACAAAGAGGUUAUUACAAAAUAAAAAUACAACUGUUAAAUCCUUUCUUCUUUUCUCCAAAUAAUAUUCUAACAAAAUCAUAGCUGUUACUCCAUGGACCAUAUCAUUUCCAAUAGAAAUCUUCUGUUAGGCUCCUCCAGCCUGAUUGACCCAAAUGAUAAACCAUAAAGGCUAAAUAUCAACAAGUUCAACCAGACAGACAUAAGUUUCUAAAACAUACUGAUUAUAAAUUCUAUAGUUGCAUUAUUUAAAUUAAAGAAAAUGACUGAAUUACUAAAAAAUUCUGGACACAC
Molecule: unclassified non-coding RNA, 1893 nt
Filed under: Hevea brasiliensis (rubber tree)
Lineage: Eukaryota; Viridiplantae; Streptophyta; Magnoliopsida; Malpighiales; Euphorbiaceae
Source: RNAcentral